CGACAAAUCUAAGGCCUGUCCCUCUGACCUCUACUACUACGCUCUCUAUUCCAGUUGGUCUCUGGAACUGCCAGUCUGCUGUUAACAAAGCAGACUUAAUUUCUUCUAUUGCUACUCAUUCCGGUCUCAACCUCAUGGCACUGACUGAGACUUGGAUCAAACCUGAAGACACUGCCACUCCCGCAGCCCUCUCCACUCAUUUCACUUGUUCCCACACCCCUCGUACGACUGGGAGGGGUGGAGGUACUGGUCUCCUUAUAUCGAAAGAUUGGAAAUUUGAUCUUCAACCACCACCUACAGGUCACGGUUCAUUUGAAUCACAUGCUGUUACUGUAACCCACCCUGUUCAAAUCCACUUUGUGGUCAUUUAUCGUCCCCCAGGUCAAUUGGGAAACUUCUUGGAGGAGUUGGAUGUGCUGCUAUCAAACUAUCCUGAAGAUGGUACUCCUCUGGUACUGCUUGGUGACUUCAACAUCCACCUAGAUAAACCCCAGGCUGCUGACUUCAACACUCUGCUCGCCUCAUUUGAUCUCAAGCGAGUCUCUACUACAGCCACUCACAAAUCGGGCAACCAACUGGACCUCAUCUACAUGCGCUGUUGCUCAGUGGACAACACUUUAGUUACUCCACUGCACACCUCAGACCACUUCCUCAUUACUGCUAAUCUAACACUUACUCCUGAAGCGGCACACGCUCCAACGCGGGUCACCUUUCGACGGAACCUACGCUCACUCUCUCCAUCUCGCCUAUCCUCUGUGGUUGCAUCCUCACUUCCUUCACUCUCGCAGUUUUCAGCUCUGGACACGAACAGUGCUACGGACACUUUUUGUUCCACUCUGACCUCCUGCUUGGACAACUUUUGCCCACUGUCGUCUAGACCAGCACGCACCACCCCAUCUGCCCCCUGGCUGUCCGAUGUACUCCGUGAACAUCGCUCUAAACUCAGGGCUGCAGAGAGGAAAUGGCUUAAAUCAAGAAACUCUACCGACCUCAGUGUGUAUCAGUCUCUCCUCUCCUCCUUCUCUGCAAACGUCUUCACUGCUAAAACAUCAUAUUACCACGACAAGAUUAACAACUGUUGUGACGCUCGGACACUCUUCAAAACCUUCUCUUCUCUUCUUAAUCCGCCUCCACCUCCUCCUCAAUCGACUCUUACAGCUGAUGACUUUGCAGUUUUCUCAUCAGCAUCGAGUUAUCUUUAGGAUCUGUCAUUCAGAAGCAUGGCUUUUCCUAUCACUGCUACGCUGAUGACACUCAACUCUACUUCUCAUUCCAACCAGAUGACCCGACGGUAGUUGCUCGCAUUUCAGCCUGUCUGAGUGACAUUUCUAGCUGGAUGAAUGACCAUCACCUUCAGCUUAACCUUACUAAGACUGAACUGCUGGUGGUUCCAGCUAACCCAUCGUUUCAUCACAACUUCUCUGUACAGCUAGGUUCGUCAACCAUAACUCCUUCCAGGACAGCCAGAAACCUAGGAGUUGUGAUUGAUGAUCAGUUAAGC
Long non-coding RNA from Cyprinus carpio (common carp), 1501 nucleotides. NCBI's taxonomy places the organism in Eukaryota, Metazoa, Chordata, Actinopteri, Cypriniformes, Cyprinidae. The record is from Ensembl.